This 640-nucleotide ribosomal RNA is filed under the name Trichosporon coremiiforme. RNAcentral describes it as "eukaryotic LSU rRNA". It matches the Rfam family "Eukaryotic large subunit ribosomal RNA", at positions 38 to 667 of the family's 3401-position model. Lineage: Eukaryota; Fungi; Basidiomycota; Tremellomycetes; Trichosporonales; Trichosporonaceae. The record is from RNAcentral.
GCAUAUCAAUAAGCGGAGGAAAAGAAACUAACAAGGAUUCCCCUAGUAACGGCGAGUGAAGCGGGAAGAGCUCAAAUUUGAAAUCUGGCAGUCUUCGAUUGUCCGAGUUGUAAUCUAUAGAGGCGUUUUCCGUGCCGGACCGUGUCCAAGUCUCCUGGAAAGGAGUAUCAAAGAGGGUGAUAAUCCCGUACUUAACACGACCACCGGUGCUCUGUGAUACGUCUUCUACGAGUCGAGUUGUUUGGGAAUGCAGCUCAAAAUGGGUGGUGAAUUCCAUCUAAAGCUAAAUAUUGGCGAGAGACCGAUAGCGAACAAGUACCGUGAGGGAAAGAUGAAAAGCACUUUGGAAAGAGAGUUAAACAGUACGUGAAAUUGUUGAAAGGGAAACGAUUGAAGUCAGUCGUGUUCUUUGGAUUCAGCCAGUUCUGCUGGUCUACUUCCUUUGAACGGGUCAACAUCAGUUUUGUCCGGUGGAUAAAGGCAGUAGGAAUGUAGCUUCUCCGGAAGUGUUAUAGCCUAUUGUCACAUACACUGGGUGAGACUGAGGACUGCAGCUCGCCUUUAUGGCCGACCUUCGGGUACGUUCGAGCUUAGGAUGUUGACAUAAUGGCUUUAAACGACCCGUCUUGAAACACGGACC